Molecule: non-coding RNA, 74 nt
Organism: Clostridium sp. CAG:710
Lineage: Bacteria; Bacillati; Bacillota; Clostridia; Eubacteriales; Clostridiaceae
Source: Rfam
CGGGAAAUGGCUCAACUUGGUAGAGCACUUGGUUUGGGACCAAGGGGUUGCAGGUUCAAAUCCUGUUUUCCCGA